RNAcentral lists this ribosomal RNA (254 nucleotides) under uncultured bacterium. Its description in RNAcentral is "partial 16S ribosomal RNA". It matches the Rfam family "Bacterial small subunit ribosomal RNA", at positions 524 to 776 of the family's 1533-position model. The record is from RNAcentral.
UACGUAGGGGGCAAGCGUUGUCCGGAUUCAUUGGGCGUAAAGAGCUCGUAGGCGGCUUGGCAAGUCGGGUGUGAAACCUCCAGGCUCAACCUGGAGACGCCACCCGAUACUGCCAUGGCUAGAGUCCGGUAGGGGACCACGGAAUUCCUGGUGUAGCGGUGAAAUGCGCAGAUAUCAGGAGGAACACCGGUGGCGAAGGCGGUGGUCUGGGCUGGCACUGACGCUGAGGAGCGAAAGCGUGGGGAGCGAACAGG